CGCGUAGGCGGUCCGACAAGUCAGGGGUGAAAUCCUGCAGCUUAACUGCAGAAGUGCCUUUGAUACGGUCGGUCUUGAGCGAGAUAGGGGUGUGCGGAACUCACAGUGGAGCGGUGAAAUGCGUUGAUAUUGUGAGGAACGCCGGAGGCGAAAGCGGCGCACUGGAUCUCUUCUGACGCUGAGGCGCGAAAGCUAGGGAGCAAACG
This 206-nucleotide ribosomal RNA is filed under the name uncultured bacterium. RNAcentral's name for it is "partial 16S ribosomal RNA". It matches the Rfam family "Bacterial small subunit ribosomal RNA", at positions 568 to 774 of the family's 1533-position model. The record is from RNAcentral.